Sebastes umbrosus (honeycomb rockfish) is the source of this 1291-nucleotide long non-coding RNA. RefSeq lists it as uncharacterized. Lineage: Eukaryota; Metazoa; Chordata; Actinopteri; Perciformes; Sebastidae. The transcript has 4 exons. The record is from RefSeq and is a predicted model, not a curated record.
AUUCCCAUAGCAAACAUUUAGACUCGUCAUAGCAGUGAAAGCACAGGUGUAACUAAUAACAUUAACGAUGCCUCUUCUAUUGAAGGCUCUUUGUAGGCUGACAGUAAGUCAUGACAGCGAGCCAGCAUGACAGACAUCUUUUAUCUGUUCCUUAAAUACCACUGUUGGAGCGUUAUCUUUUCACAAUUGCCUCCAGUAAAAACCUCAAAGGCCGUCUGCUGUCUUCAACCUUGACUGGAAGUGUGUUCAGCUACCCGCAUAGCUGUGCACCUACAUGCACGCUGAGUGAGUGAGGGCAGAAGAACAGUCUGAGAGGAUCCAUGAUGGGCGCCGUACCACAGUGCAGCAGAGAGGCCAGAACCACCACAGCAGAAGGAUGGUGAGCAGCAGCAGCAGGAUGAGCAGAGCGAUGGCCACAAAGGUCCCGUCAGACUAGAGGGGAGAAUAGAUACAGGACAUAAUAACCAGGAUGCUGGACGGCUCUACAGCCAGGAUCUCAAUGCAUGAUCGCUUCAGGAUCUGAGAGGGAAAAUAAUAACAUAAAAAACUGAACUAAAGGUACAGUAGGUUAAAUUAUGCGAUGAGGUAUUUAAUCAUCUUUCUGUGAUCUAACAGUGCCAUGCUUGUGUCUUUCACACCGAGUCAAUGACCCCUUGUAGCGCCUCAAAUCCAUCAUUCACCGGGAAGACGUGCUCCGCACUGUCAGCUAUCGUUGAAAGCUGUCGAGACAAUUUACUGAAUGAUUAACUGAUGUCUUAUAGUUUGGAUUGAUUCAUUCAUCUGCUGGUUAACUGGUUUAUUGGUUGACAUAUUGGUUUACCUGGGUUUCAUUGAAGUCUUUUACUCCCACACAGUACACAGUGGCGCCCAACUGGCGCGCUCUGCCGGCCUGAGACAUUACACAAACAACAAAUAAGCUUCAGUAAAAUGAUGAAUGAAUCAGUAAAUCACAAUGGGGAGAAAAGUGCAGUUGCACUGCUAUUUAUGGGUCGAAACUUUAAAGCUUUUUCCACUUGUGGACACGCUUCCAUCAGUGAUGUUGCUGCUAAUGUUAAUAUGCCGGCUGCUGGAACACAUCUGCUGUGACAUCACUGAGAGUCAUGUGACCACAAGCACAACAAACCUGGAAGCUUUUAACCCAAAGAGGACAACACAGCAACGUCUCUGCCGUGUGUAAUUCCAGCCCGUUAGUACAAAAAAGCAUAUGAAUGACACAAUGAUGCGCAAGGCAUUUGGCACGCAAUAAGAACGCCUUUCUUGUGUUCUUCUUGCUAUGUAGUCUGUACUGACA